UACGGGGGGAGCAAGCGUUGUUCGGAUUCAUUGGGCGUAAAGGGUGCGUAGGUGGCGCUGUAAGUCGGGUGUAAAAUUUCGGAGCUUAACUCCGAAACUGCAUUCGAUACUGCGGUGCUUGAGGACUGGAGAGGAGACUGGAAUUCAUGGUGUAGCAGUGAAAUGCGUAGAGAUCAUGAGGAAGACCAGUGGCGAAGGCGGGUCUCUGGACAGUUCCUGACACUGAGGCACGAAGGCCAGGGGAGCAAACGGG
This 253-nucleotide ribosomal RNA is filed under the name uncultured bacterium. RNAcentral describes it as "partial 16S ribosomal RNA". It matches the Rfam family "Bacterial small subunit ribosomal RNA", at positions 524 to 776 of the family's 1533-position model. The record is from RNAcentral.